RNAcentral lists this unclassified non-coding RNA (153 nucleotides) under uncultured Nectriaceae. RNAcentral describes it as "sequence contains ITS1". The record is from RNAcentral. Lineage: Eukaryota; Fungi; Ascomycota; Sordariomycetes; Hypocreales; Nectriaceae.
CCGAGUUUACAACUCCCAAACCCCUGUGAACAUACCUAUUGUUGCUUCGGCGGGACCGCCCCGGCGCCUUCGGGCCCGGACCCAGGCGCCCGCCGGAGGACCCAAACUCUUGUUUUCAUAAGAAUCUUCUGAGUGAUACAAGCAAAUAAAUUA